This 476-nucleotide ribosomal RNA is filed under the name uncultured bacterium. RNAcentral describes it as "partial 16S ribosomal RNA". It matches the Rfam family "Bacterial small subunit ribosomal RNA", at positions 28 to 505 of the family's 1533-position model. The record is from RNAcentral.
GAUGAACGCUGGCGGCGUGCUUAACACAUGCAAGUCGAACGAGAAGUGAAGACGGAAACCUUCGGGCGGAAGGCUUUAUUUCGAGUGGCGGACGGGUGAGUAACGCGUGGGUAACCUGCCUCAUACAGGGGGAUAACAGUUGGAAACGACUGUUAAUACCGCAUAAGACCACAGCACCGCAUGGUGCGGGGGUAAAAACUCCGGUGGUAUGAGAUGGACCCGCGUUCGAUUAGCCAGUUGGCGGGGUAACGGCCCACCAAAGCGACGAUCGAUAGCCGAUCUGAGAGGAUGACCGGCCACAUUGGGACUGAGACACGGCCCAAACUCCUACGGGAGGCAGCAGUGGGGAAUAUUGCACAAUGGGGGAAACCCUGAUGCAGCGACGCCGCGUGAGUGAAGAAGUAUUUCGGUAUGUAAAGCUCUAUCAGCAGGGAAGAAAAUGACGGUACCUGAGUAAGAAGCCCCGGCUAACGACG